AUUGAACGCUGGCGGCAGGCCUAACACAUGCAAGUCGAGCGGGUGAAGGGAGCUUGCUCCUGGAUUCAGCGGCGGACGGGUGAGUAAUGCCUAGGAAUCUGCCUGGUAGUGGGGGAUAACGUCCGGAAACGGGCGCUAAUACCGCAUACGUCCUGAGGGAGAAAGUGGGGGAUCUUCGGACCUCACGCUAUCAGAUGAGCCUAGGUCGGAUUAGCUAGUUGGUGGGGUAAAGGCCUACCAAGGCGACGAUCCGUAACUGGUCUGAGAGGAUGAUCAGUCACACUGGAACUGAGACACGGUCCAGACUCCUACGGGAGGCAGCAGUGGGGAAUAUUGGACAAAGGGCGAAAGCCUGAUCCAGCCAUGCCGCGUGUGUGAAGAAGGUCUUCGGAUUGUAAAGCACUUUAAGUUGGGAGGAAGGGCAGUAAGUUAAUACCUUGCUGUUUUGACGUUACCAACAGAAUAAGCACCGGCUAACCUCGUG
RNAcentral lists this ribosomal RNA (484 nucleotides) under uncultured bacterium. RNAcentral describes it as "partial 16S ribosomal RNA". It matches the Rfam family "Bacterial small subunit ribosomal RNA", at positions 30 to 507 of the family's 1533-position model. The record is from RNAcentral.